UACGUAGGGUGCAAGCGUUAAUCGGAAUUACUGGGCGUAAAGCGUGCGCAGGCGGUUGUAUAAGUCAGAUGUGAAAUCCCCGGGCUCAACCUGGGAACUGCAUUUGAGACUGUACGGCUAGAGUGUGGCAGAGGGGGGUGGAAUUCCACGUGUAGCAGUGAAAUGCGUAGAGAUGUGGAGGAACACCGAUGGCGAAGGCAGCCCCCUGGGCCAACACUGACGCUCAUGCACGAAAGCGUGGGGAGCAAACAGG
This 253-nucleotide ribosomal RNA is filed under the name uncultured bacterium. RNAcentral describes it as "partial 16S ribosomal RNA". It matches the Rfam family "Bacterial small subunit ribosomal RNA", at positions 524 to 776 of the family's 1533-position model. The record is from RNAcentral.